ACGGUAACGAUGGAAAGCUUGCUUUCCAGGCGACGAGUGGCGGACGGGUGAGUAAUACAUAGGAAUCUGCCCAGUAGCGGGGGACAACCUGGUGAAAACCAGGCUAAUACCGCAUACGCCCCCUGGUUUAAUCACUGGGGGGGAAAGCGGGGGACCUUCGGGCCUCGCACUAUUGGAUGAGCCUAUGUCUGAUUAGCUAGUUGGUAGGGUAAAAGCCUACCAAGGCGACGAUCAGUAGCUGGUCUGAGAGGAUGAUCAGCCACACUGGGACUGAGACACGGCCCAGACUCCUACGGGAGGCAGCAGUGGGGAAUAUUGGACAAUGGGCGCAAGCCUGAUCCAGCAAUGCCGCGUGUGUGAAGAAGGCCUGAGGGUUGUAAAGCACUUUCAAUUGUGAAGAAAAGUUUAAGGCUAAUAACCUUAAACCGUGACGUUAACUUUAGAAGAAGCACCGGCUAACUCCGUGCCAGCAGCCGCGGUAAUACGGAGGGUGCGAGCGUUAAUCGGAAUUACUGGGCGUAAAGCGUGCGUAGGUGGCUUGGUAAGUCGGAUGUGAAAGCCCUGGG
RNAcentral lists this ribosomal RNA (566 nucleotides) under uncultured bacterium. RNAcentral's name for it is "bacterial SSU rRNA". It matches the Rfam family "Bacterial small subunit ribosomal RNA", at positions 66 to 607 of the family's 1533-position model. The record is from RNAcentral.